This is a long non-coding RNA of Zophobas morio, 277 nucleotides long. RefSeq lists it as uncharacterized. The record is from RefSeq and is a predicted model, not a curated record. Lineage: Eukaryota; Metazoa; Arthropoda; Insecta; Coleoptera; Tenebrionidae. The transcript has 3 exons.
GCUUGGAAAAGUGCAAGGAAACAGGAGAUUCAUCCUUUUUGCUUACAAGUUUAAGACAUUAUCAACAGAAUUAUAUAAAAUGUACAUCUUUUAUGGAGCAAUUUAAGGCGCUUUCUGAAUCACUUGAUCUUGCUUUCCACGUGGACUCUGAUUCUCUUCCGACCGUUUCAUUAUUUUUAAGCAACGACGUUUUUUUAGUUGAAAUUUUAUUUCAGUGCGAAUCUUUAACAGACGGAGUUAUUAAGAAAGAAGACAUUCUAAUAAAUAUUUAUCACAC